This 694-nucleotide ribosomal RNA is filed under the name uncultured bacterium. RNAcentral's name for it is "bacterial SSU rRNA". It matches the Rfam family "Bacterial small subunit ribosomal RNA", at positions 94 to 801 of the family's 1533-position model. The record is from RNAcentral.
AGUGGCGGACGGGUGAGUAACGCGUGAGCAACCUACCUUGCAAUGGGGGACAACAGUUGGAAACGACUGCUAAUACCGCAUAAGACCACAUUGCCACAUGGCAAAGAGGUAAAAGGAGAAAUCCGAUGCAAGAUGGGCUCGCGUCCCAUUAGAUAGUUGGUGAGGUAACGGCUCACCAAGUCAACGAUGGGUAGCCGACCUGAGAGGGUGAUCGGCCACACUGGAACUGAGAGACGGUCCAGACUCCUACGGGAGGCAGCAGUGGGGAAUAUUGGGCAAUGGGCGAAAGCCUGACCCAGCAACGCCGCGUGAGGGAAGAAGGUCUUCGGAUUGUAAACCUCUGUCCUAUGGGACGAACACAAUGACGGUACCAUAGGAGGAAGCUCCGGCUAACUACGUGCCAGCAGCCGCGGUAAUACGUAGGGAGCAAGCGUUGUCCGGAAUUACUGGGCGUAAAGGGUGCGUAGGUGGCCAUGUAAGUCAGAUGUGAAAUACCCGGGCUUAACCCGGGGGGUGCAUUUGAAACUGUGUGGCUUGAGUGCAGGAGAGGGAAGUGGAAUUCCUAGUGUAGCGGUGAAAUGCGUAGAUAUUAGGAGGAACACCAGUGGCGAAGGCGACUUUCUGGACUGUAACUGACACUGAGGCACGAAAGCGUGGGGAGCAAACAGGAUUAGAUACCCUGGUAGUCCACGCC